Molecule: ribosomal RNA, 501 nt
Filed under: uncultured bacterium
Lineage: Bacteria
Description: partial 16S ribosomal RNA
Rfam family: Bacterial small subunit ribosomal RNA
Source: RNAcentral
AUUGAACGCUGGCGGCAGGCUUAACACAUGCAAGUCGAGCGGGGUGAUGGUGCUUGCACUACCACUUAGCGGCGGACGGGUGAGUAAUGCUUAGGAAUCUGCCUAUUAGUGGGGGACAACAUUCCGAAAGGAAUGCUAAUACCGCAUACGUCCUACGGGAGAAAGCAGGGGAUCUUCGGACCUUGCGCUAAUAGAUGAGCCUAAGUCGGAUUAGCUAGUUGGUGGGGUAAAGGCCUACCAAGGCGACGAUCUGUAGCGGGUCUGAGAGGAUGAUCCGCCACACUGGGACUGGGACACGGCCCAGACUCCUACGGGAGGCAGCAGUGGGGAAUAUUGGACAAUGGGGGAAACCCUAAUCCAGCCAUGCCGCGUGUGUGAAGAAGGCCUUAUGGUUGUAAAGCACUUUAAGCGAGGAGGAGGCUACUGAGACUAAUACUCUUGGAUAGUGGACGUUACUCGCAGAAUAAGCACCGGCUAACUCUGUGCCAGCCGCCGCCGUAA